This is a long non-coding RNA of Mirounga angustirostris (Northern elephant seal), 2950 nucleotides long. RefSeq lists it as uncharacterized. Lineage: Eukaryota; Metazoa; Chordata; Mammalia; Carnivora; Phocidae. The transcript is spliced from 4 exons. The record is from RefSeq and is a predicted model, not a curated record.
UGACCUUGUGUCCAAGGCAAGAGGCCCAGCGCUCAGGCCUCCUGGCCUUUAGGGAUUCUGCUGCUCAAGUGGAAAAACAGAGAUUGUAAAGUGCUUUAAAGAUCGUCCUGUACCGAAUGCGGCAAACUGAUAAACAACCUAUGUAGUGACAAAUUUAUAUUACGCAGAAUAACUUCUCCAGGCGAGAUUCUUUGGACAAGUGUACUGCAGUAAAGGAUCUUGUAGGUUUUCUUAUUAGUUGCUCUACACUAGAGCAAUGGUUCCCAAUCCUGGCCACAUGUUAGGAUUACUUAGAGAGCUUUCACAAUGCCUGCUGCUUGCUUGCUACCAGUUGAAUCAGACUCUCUAGCCAGGGGAGCGAGCCAUCUUAAUUUUUCUAGUGUCUCCGGUGGCUCUAAUGUACAGCACUGCUUUAAAAUCCUUAAAACAUGGCCAUUUGAAAUGACCCCAGAUAAAAGAGACUUUCUCCAUGUUCUACAGCAAUGCUUUUUGGAUUAUGGGUCAUGACCGAUUAGUGGAUCAUGAAAUCAGCUUACUGGGUCACAACUAGCAUGAAAAUGCAAUAGAAUAGAGGGGAAAAAGCAUACUGCGUUAAGUGAGAUUUGGGGGUGGGUGGUGUCAAACUUGUUUCAGAUCUGUCUUGGAUCAUGAUCUAAGAAUACCACUAUUCUAGAUUCUAGGAAUAAAAACCUUGUUGCCCUGAGCCCCCAUGGAAUUGUUCUAAUUCAAAUUGGUUGUUGGCUUUUUCAACAGUUUUGCUGAUUCCACAGGAUGUUGUGGCUGUGAGCUGGGAAGGCUGCCAUGCUGUUAUUUUGGAAAGGGUUAUGCAAAUGCUUCCUCCCAGAUGGUUCCCAGAGUUAGUUCAGUAUGAGCAUUUCCUCUGGAAACAUCAGGGAUGUAAAGAGAGAUGUCACGACCAAUACUCCAAGGGAAUGCUGUCUAAUGGUUUAAUCCACGAGUUUCUAUAUUUUGAUUUAUGAAAGAACUGGGAAUCCACAUAGACAUAAAAUUUCCAAAGACAAUCAGGAAAAACAAGAGAGAAACACAGCGAGAGAGGGAACACAAGCAGGGGGAGUGGAAGAGGGAGAAGCAGGCCUCCCGACAAGCAGGUAGCCCGAUGCAGGGCUCGAUCCCAGGACCCUGAGACCAUGACCCGAGCUGAAGGCAGAUGCUUAACGACUGAGCCACCCAGGCACCCCUCUACUGGAUAUUCUUUAUAGGACUUUCAGAACCAAAUUUAGGAUUUUAUCUAUUUGACUCCGAGGGAGAGAUAGCACAAGCAGGGGGAGCAGCAGGCAGAGGGAGAGGGAGAAGCAGGCUCUCCACUGAGCAAGGAGCCCGACAUGGGGCUCGAUCCCAGGACCCUGGGAUCGUGACCUGAGCUGAAGGCAGCCGCUUAACCGACUGAGCCACCCAGGCGCCCCUACAUCAUGACUUUUAUACCUGGCAUAUUUUGUUCAGCAUGUUUCUGAGAUUCAUUCAUUCAUGUUGUUGUUGAAUGUAUUAGUGGUUCAUUUUAUUGCUAAAUAGUAUUCCACUUUAUAGAUAUAACACAACUAGUUUAUCCAAUCACCUGUGAUGGGCAGUAGGUUUCUGUUUGUAGCUAUUAUGAAUAAAGCUUUUAUGAACAUUGUAUACAAGUUUGCAUGAACACCAGCAGUGUAAGAGUGUUCCAGUUUUUUCCCAUCCUCACCAACUCUUGGUAUGGUUACUCUUUCAUCUUAGCCAUUCUAGCAGGUGUAAAGGGGUAUUCCAUUGUGGUUUUAAUAUGUACUUCUCUGAUGACUAAUGGUGUUGACCAUGUUUUCAUGUACUAUUAGCCAUUUGCGUAUCCUCCUUUGUAAAGUUCCUAUUCAAAGCUUUUGUUCAUUUAAAAAUUGGGUUGUUUGUCUUCUUAUUGAUAUCUAAGAAUUCUUUAUAUGCUCCAUAUGUGUCCUUUUUAGGUAUACAUGAAAUAUGAUACAUAUAUGUCCUAUAUGUAUAUAUAAUACUUGUAUGUAUAUACACACAUAUAUGUAUAUAUACACAUAAUAUUAGGUGUGCACACAAAUAAUAUUUUGGAUAUAUAUUAGAUAUUUUCUCCCAGUCUGCAGUCUACCUUUUCCUUUCUUAAAAGGUGUUUUUCUAAGAGCAAAAGCUUUGAAUUUUUUUGAAAUCCAAUUUUUCAACUAUUUCUUCAAUAUUCUUGCUUUUUUAGCCUUCCUAAGGAAUUUGCCUUUGCCACGGUCAUAAAGGAAGAAGUGAGUUUUCUUAUGGUAUUCUUAUGUUGGCUUAUUUCGACCAUUGUGUUAAAAACGUCCCCCAUUCCCUUCCUUUCUCUUCCUUUCCACAGACUCAUCAUGACUUGGCUGGAAAAGAGAGUAAGUGUCAUUAGCUAAUGUUAUAGGGGCAUGGUUAGGCCCAGUUUAAAAAGAACACAGAGAACGUUUGCAACAUAUAUGAAACCUUAGGCCAGAAAAAUACUCUGAAGGGUUUUAACCAGCCUAUUAAAUGAGGCUUCUCAAGUUACUCUCUAUCAUAUCACCUUGGAAAUUUUCAAGGCACAAUUAUCUUUAUGAUCUUGUUUAUUUGUUUACUUGUUUCUUAUCUGACCUUUAUACUACACUGUAAGUUUUUCUGUCUUGUUCACAUGUGAUGAGUGAAUGGAUGAACCAGUAGAGGCCAGGUUGCAAUGUGGCUGAUGGAAUUGACAUCAGUUUGGGGUUUCUGGCUCCCACCCUUUCAGUCCCCAGAAACUUACCCUGUCUGUCACUUUCAUCCACUACAUUUGUAAAUUACUACAUGUUACUAUACCUAUACACAGAAUUGUUAAGCCCAUUUCUUUAGGGAAGCAAUCUCUUUCCUUACUUUAAUGAGAAUUGGGAUUCUCUGAAACUUCUAUGUUCAUCCUUUCAUGGGUAAGAGAUGAUUCAGGAUUGGGUAAUGGGGGAAUUAUUAAGAAGAUUGCUUC